Molecule: non-coding RNA, 2214 nt
Organism: Punica granatum (pomegranate)
Lineage: Eukaryota; Viridiplantae; Streptophyta; Magnoliopsida; Myrtales; Lythraceae
Source: RefSeq, a predicted model, not a curated record
GAACACUCCGCUUCCGUCUCCAUUUCCAUUCAUUUGGUUUGUUUGUUUGGAGUUGGAUACGCCACGCGACACCACACCACACCACACCACACCACAAAGAAGGCGUGAAGUUAAGUGGUGAGCGACUGAGUGGAGACUAGCCCACUCGAGCCUUUUGUGCGUGUGUGGCAGAGAGCGAGCGAGCGAGCGAAGAGCGAAAGAGAGAUGGCGGAGAUGGAGGAGAAGGCGAAGCACGAUGACGGUAAGGUCCCCGGCACCGGCGGAAUCGUGCUGGUUGAUCCUAUGCCGAGGAAAGGUCUCACCUCCAAAAUCAUCGAUUACUUUGAGAAGCUCGUCGUCAAGCUCAUGUACGACUCUUCCCAGCCUCAUCACUACCUAUCCGGCAACUUCGCUCCCGUCCCCGACGAGACUUCUCCCGUCCCCGAGCUCCCUGUCGAAGGCUACCUCCCCGACUGCUUGAACGGCGAAUUCGUCCGGGUGGGUCCGAAUCCCAAGUUUGCUCCUGUUGCUGGUUACCACUGGUUUGAUGGUGAUGGAAUGAUUCAUGGUAUGCGCAUAAAAGAUGGAAAAGCAACAUAUGUUUCUCGCUAUGUGAAGACAUCACGGCUUAAGCAAGAGGAGUUUUUUGGAGGUGCUAAAUUCAUGAAGAUUGGGGACCUCAAGGGGUUUUUUGGGUUAUUCAUGGUAAACAUGCAAAUGCUGAGAGCAAAAAUGAAAGUGUUAGAUGUUUCAUAUGGAACCGGAACUGGCAAUACAGCUCUGAUAUAUCACCAUGGAAAACUAUUAGCUCUCUCUGAGGCUGAUAAACCAUAUGUACUAAAGGUUUUGGAGGACGGGGAUCUUCAAACUCUAGGAAUGCUGGACUAUGACAAGAGGCUAUCACACUCAUUCACUGCGCAUCCAAAGGUUGACCCUUUCACUGGGGAAAUGUUCACUUUUGGCUAUUCACACAUGCCUCCAUAUAUCACAUACAGAGUUAUUUCAAAGGAUGGUUAUAUGCAUGAUCCAGUACCUAUUACAAUAUCGGAUCCCAUAAUGAUGCAUGACUUUGCAAUUACUGAGAACUACGCCAUUUUCAUGGAUCUCCCUCUGUAUUUCAGACCCAAGGAAAUGGUAAAGGAGAAGAAGCUGAUAUUCACAUUUGAUGCUACUAAGAAAUCCCGCUUUGGCAUUCUCCCUCGGUAUGCGAAGAAUGAUCAUGAAAUCAGAUGGUUUGAGCUUCCAAACUGCUUCAUAUUUCAUAAUGCUAAUGCUUGGGAGGAGGAAGAUGAAGUUGUUCUGAUUACCUGCCGCCUGGAGAAUCCAGAUCUGGAUAUGGUCAAUGGGACUGUCAAAGAGAAGCUUGAGAAUUUCAGAAAUGAACUAUAUGAAAUGAGAUUCAACAUGAAAACUGGUCUAGCUUCACAGAAGAAAUUAUCUGCACCCGCUGUUGAUUUUCCCAGGAUUAACGAGAGCUACACUGGCAGGAAACAAAGAUAUGUCUAUGGCACCAUUCUCGACAGCAUUGCCAAGGUCAUUGGGAUUGCAAAAUUUGAUCUUCACGCUGAGCCAAAGACAGGUAAAACAAAGAUUGAAGUUGGAGGAAAUGUGAAAGGUGUCUUUGACUUGGGGCCGGGAAGAUUUGGUUCAGAGGCUAUAUUUGUCCCCCGGGAAUCUGGACUCUCUUCUGAAGAAGAUGAUGGUUAUCUGAUAUUCUUUAUGCAUGAUGAAAAUACAGGGUUUGUGGCAUAACUAUAAACAGCCUAAAGGUUGCAUGGUCUUCUAAUGUGAAGAGAGGAUACAAAUUGAUUAGAAAGUGAGUUGUGGAGCCAUAAUAUAGAGGCGACCCGUGUCACAUCAUUUGAAGUACAACAUAGAGAUAGAUUGUCAUCGAUAAUGAUAAAAAUCAUUUGCAAUUGUGAUUGAUGCAAAGACUAUGUCAUCGGAUCCUGUUGCAGUUGUCGAGUUACCCCAUAGGGUUCCGUAUGGGUUCCACGCUUUCUUUGUUACUGAAGAGCAACUUACGGAGCUGGCAAAACUCUGAUACGUUCAGCUGUUCCGGAGGUUGGCGAACUUAGAAUCAUUAUACGAUUACUCCUGCAGUAGGUUGGUACAUAUAUGUGAACUGUAUAUUUACUUUCAUUCCUCCUUCCAGGACGUUCUACGCAGACAUAAUGCAUGUCUGAACAUGCUUCAAUACAUUAAAUGAAACUCGUAAUUGCAAAUAGUUCUCUU